RNAcentral lists this transfer RNA (67 nucleotides) under Drosophila polychaeta. Its description in RNAcentral is "tRNA-Trp". It matches the Rfam family "tRNA". From Rfam's summary of the family: Transfer RNA (tRNA) molecules are approximately 80 nucleotides in length. The record is from RNAcentral. Lineage: Eukaryota; Metazoa; Arthropoda; Insecta; Diptera; Drosophilidae.
AAGGCUUUAAGUUAAAAAAACUAAUAGCCUUCAAAGCUGUAAAUAUAGGAAUUGCCUUUAAGCCUUA